RNAcentral lists this ribosomal RNA (463 nucleotides) under uncultured bacterium. RNAcentral's name for it is "partial 16S ribosomal RNA". It matches the Rfam family "Bacterial small subunit ribosomal RNA", at positions 28 to 507 of the family's 1533-position model. The record is from RNAcentral.
GACGAACGCUGGCGGCGUGCUUAACACAUGCAAGUCGUACGGUAAGGCCCUUUCGGGGGUACGAGUGGCGAACGGGGGAGUAACACGUGAGUAACCUGCCCACAACUUUGGGAUAACGCUAGGAAACUGGUGCUAAUACUGGAUAUGUGCUCCUGCUGCGUGGGGGGGGGUGGGAAGCUCCGGCGGUUGUGGAUGGACUCGCGGCCUAUCUGCUUGUUGGUGGGGUAGUGGCCUACCAAGGCGGCGACGGGUAGCCGGCCUGAGAGGGUGACCGGCCACAUUGGGACUGAGAUACGGCCCAGACUCCUACGGGAGGCAGCAGUGGGGAAUAUUGCACAAUGGGCGCAAGCCUGAUGCAGCAACGCCGCGUGCGGGAUAACGGCCUUCGGGUUGUAAACCGCUUUCAGCAGGGACGAAGCUUUUUGUGACGGUACCUGCAGAAGAAGCACCGGCUAACUACGUG